This 1955-nucleotide long non-coding RNA is filed under the name Nasonia vitripennis (jewel wasp). RNAcentral's name for it is "uncharacterized LOC116417042". Lineage: Eukaryota; Metazoa; Arthropoda; Insecta; Hymenoptera; Pteromalidae. The record is from RNAcentral.
CUAGAAUCAAUUUUUCUUCGGCAUACUCCCUGUAUAUGUUAAAUUUAUUGAAGAUCAUACGCGCUAUUCAUAAAAUCAUAUAUCGUUAUAAUUCAUAAGAUGGGCGGACGAAAAAGAAAAAAUAAGCAUAAUAGAGGUCGACCAAGAAAAGUCAGAAGAGGUUCCAAAGGUGGAAGAUAUACCACUAUAUCAGAUUACUCUAUAUCUACUAAAUAUAGACGAGCAAGAGGUAUGUGGCUUCGCCCAAAAUGAUGUUCAAAUUUUAGAAAUAGCGUUAAGUCUUGCAAAGAAAUUCACCGUAGAUGAUACUGAUUUAUCCAAUGUAACGCAAAAUGAGAAUAAUCAACAGUGUGAGUCAAAUAUAUUGAAACAUACAGCAGAUUCAGCUGCAGCAUUUUAUUUAGAGCAAAACUUGAAUAAAAAUUCUUACAUAAGUUUAUCUAAAGAUUGUAAAAUGAGAAAUGCUCCCAUUUAUCCCUGCUGUUCAGGAAUUUCCAAAGCUUUGUCCGAAUGUCUACCAAAUGGUUACGAUAUUUCCGAGGUACAGAUUGUGGUAUCCAUGCAGGAGAUGUUAAAUAAAACUAGUGAGCGACUUUGCAAUGCAGUUGCUUUGGAUUGGAGUGUCAACGACUUGAUUGAUUUAACGCUUUCUGUAACUGUAGGGUUCGAUAGUUCUUCAGGUCAUAAAAAUGUAAGUAUGCUACAAAUGAAAGCGAAGCUUCCGAGCAGUCCCUCUUCGUUACAAGCUUCAUUAUCAUUAAAAUAAGCUCUAAUAAAUCUGAUGGAAAAUCAUGGAUCAAUCCAAUUCCUCAAAGUGUAAGACUUUAUCGACCAUUAAGGAUUGCAUUCGAAAAAGAAACAGAUGAUACGACCAUACGUGAAUACAAUCGAUUAGAAAAUGAAAUAAAGAAUCUCAGUUCUUAUAAAUUUAGUCUGUCCAAUGGAAAAAACAUUUGCGUUUCUUAUGAAGUUACACAAACUCUUUUUGAUGGCAAAUAUUUAAAUGUAAUAGUGAGAAAUAGAGCAACCAGUAGAUGUCCAAUUUGUAAGAUAACGUCUCAUCAGUUUGGAGAAUUUGGCAAUAAUUUCACUCCUGUUGCUGAAUCACUGAAGUAUGGUUUGGGAUUAUUGCACGCAGAAAUUAAUACAUUUGAGCAUCUCCUAAACAUUUCUUAUAGAAUGCCAUUCAAAACGUGCGAUAUUCGAUAACCGCUAAAAGAACGAUAUCAAAUUCGAAUAAGAGAUGUGCAGAAAAAAGUUUUCAUUAAUUUCGGAGUUAGAGAAGACCAAGUAUUACAAGGCCAUGGAACAACAAAUACUGGAAAUAUAGCUCGUAGUUGUUUUGAAGAUCCGAAAAAAUGUGCAAGGUCAUUGGAAAUUAAUGAAGAUUUGGUUCAAAAUAUUGUAACUAUAUUAACUUUAUUUAAAUGCAAAAAGGAGCUUAAAUUAGACGAGUUAGAAAAGUUCUGUAUAAAUACAUAUCAACUGUACUAAAAUACGUAUCCAUGGUGUCGAAUGAAUCCGACGCUUCAUAAAAUUUUAAUGCAUGGAUGUCAAAUUGCCAGGCAAUUUCCUAUGCCUUUAGCAUACUAUGCCAAAGAUGCUAAUGAGUCUUAGCAUAAGUUUUAUCGCAGAAAUAUGACAGAACACUCCAGACAGACAAGUAGAUUAGCACGAAUUACGGAUGUAUUUAACAGAGUAGUGCAUAUGAGUGACCCAAAUCUAUCUUUGAUGUUCAUAGGCAAUCAAAUAAAAUUAGCUAAGAAGCACAUAUUCUUUCAAAAUGCACAGGCAUUGAGCUAUAUAAAAGAAACGCAUAUUAUGAACGAAGAAGAGUGGGAAGAAGAAAACCAGAACACAAGUGAUGAUGAAAGUAAUAUGGCUUAUGAUAAUUCUGAUGAAGAAUCUAUAAUGUAAUUAUUAUGAAAUAAUAAAAGGUUAUCAUAGUAAUUGGA